CUUGAAUGACUCCUUGAGGUCCUUGAGCUUCGAGUCCUUGCCCAGCUUCAGGCCCUCCUUGGACACGUUCUGGAACUUCUUGUCCUCGUAGUCCAUCAAGUAUUGCAUCAGGUACUCGUCCACUGGGUCGGUGAAGAAGAUAACCUCAUAGUUUUUCUUUAUUAGCCUCUCAAGGAACGGAGACUUCUCCAGCUGUUCUUUGCUACUUCCUAUGAUGUAGAAGAUAUCUUUCUGCCCAGGCUUCAUCCUUGAAAUGUACUCGUCAAGAGAGGCAAGUUU
Molecule: long non-coding RNA, 279 nt
Organism: Panicum virgatum (switchgrass)
Lineage: Eukaryota; Viridiplantae; Streptophyta; Magnoliopsida; Poales; Poaceae
Exons: 3
Source: RefSeq, a predicted model, not a curated record